GAAAUCUACUCUCGCAUUGCACUUGACACUCUAUCUCAUUAUCAAUGUAGCCUGUAUAUAGCGGGGAUUUUCAAUCCUUAAAAUUUGGAGGUUGUGUAAUGAUGAGGAUUUCAGUAAAGUGGAGAGUAUAGUAGGGAUUUUUUAAAUUUAUUAGUGACUUUGCUUUUACAGAGUUUCUUUUAGAAUUUUCUUUUAAUAUUGUUUUGCUUGCAUUAAUUUAAAGGUUAAUAUAAUAAUUAAAAUGUAAUAUUGAACAGUUACAGUCUGUAAUCCCAUAAAAUUCCUAAUUUUUUAAUCCUGAUAAUGUAAUAAUGUUAACAUUACAUUAAAGAAAUGUACGUUUCUAAUAGAACAACACAAUAAAACGCACAUAUUUGUAGGAGAAGCAAAUCAAAAAGUUUAUGCAAUUAAGAUAACUACAUGUCAUGAUAUAACGAAUUAGAGAUGCAAUUGUAUGAAUUAAUAAAAAUCGACGUCGUCAUGCCAGAAAAAGCAGAGUGGCAAACCUGUAUUCGUGUAGAAGGGCCAUAUUUUAAACAAGCGUAGAAUACGCUUACAACGUUUGUACGAGGAAACCUCAGACACCUUGUAUAUUCUAUUUUCUUCGCUUUUGCUCUUUUACUCUUAUUGUCCAACUUUCGUUCUGCCCUCUGAAGUAAGAUUGAGUUUACCACUCCAUAACCUUUCUUUACUGUUUGUUGGGGACAUAGUAGUCUCUACAUUUCUGUAAUAAGUGUUGAGAUUAACUAAUAAUUCUUUAUUAAUAAAUAAAGUUAAAAGAUA
RNAcentral lists this long non-coding RNA (783 nucleotides) under Polistes fuscatus (common paper wasp). RNAcentral's name for it is "uncharacterized LOC122516994". The record is from RNAcentral. Lineage: Eukaryota; Metazoa; Arthropoda; Insecta; Hymenoptera; Vespidae.